This 421-nucleotide ribosomal RNA is filed under the name bacterium enrichment culture clone ALO1_GLFRUDD03HHJJR. RNAcentral's name for it is "bacterial SSU rRNA". It matches the Rfam family "Bacterial small subunit ribosomal RNA", at positions 9 to 429 of the family's 1533-position model. The record is from RNAcentral.
GAGUUUGAUCAUGGCUCAGAUUGAACGCUGGCGGCAGGCCUAACACAUGCAAGUCGAGCGGAUGACGGGAGCUUGCUCCUUGAUUCAGCGGCGGACGGGUGAGUAAUGCCUAGGAAUCUGCCUGGUAGUGGGGGACAACGUUUCGAAAGGAACGCUAAUACCGCAUACGUCCUACGGGAGAAAGCAGGGGACCUUCGGGCCUUGCGCUAUCAGAUGAGCCUAGGUCGGAUUAGCUAGUUGGUGGGGUAAUGGCUCACCAAGGCGACGAUCCGUAACUGGUCUGAGAGGAUGAUCAGUCACACUGGAACUGAGACACGGUCCAGACUCCUACGGGAGGCAGCAGUGGGGAAUAGUUGGACAAGUGGGACGAAAGCCUGAUCCAGCCAUGCCGCGUGUGUGAAGAAGGUCUUCGGAUUGUAAA